UAUUGCAGACGUGGCCAGUCAAUUCCUGUUCAGUCUUAGCUCUCCUGGCCUUUUGGUCCAGGUUGUCUUUGGCCUAGGUCUGUGUAGACCCCGAGGAGAGAAGAGUGGAGAAGUCAGGGAGUCUGUGGUCGCUCUCUGUUUUCUGAACAAGAGGUUGAUCUAGCAGCAGAGGAGGAAUGCAUCCUGAAGAGAAGCUUAAUGAUUUACAUUUCAUCCCCUUUCCUUGUCAGCCCCCAGGAGCCCCAUCAGAUCUUCUCCACUCCUGCUGUCAGGCCACAGAGUCCUGUUAUGGGGGAAUCUGCACCUUAGGACAACCUCCACCAUCUCUCACAGCAGAUGCCCAAUAUUUUCUGGACUCAAAGACCAGCCCUGUGCUGUUUUGGACCUUGGAUUAAAUUUCAGAGCUGACCUGUCACUGAGAUGGAGCCAUGGACUGUACUGCCACCUCAAAGGGAAGGUUUUUUUUUUUUCCUGUGUGUAUGUGUGUGAGAGAGAGAAUGGCGGGCGUUAAGGUUAGCUGAAUUUGGGGAGAGCAGUGAGGAAGGGGAGGCCACUGUGGACACAGAAGCUGCUUCUGGAGAUGGGGGCUGGGGCUCUGUACACUGAACUGGUUCUGUUUUGACUUGACAGUGGACCUGAGGAGACUCGGGGCCCUUAAUUCUAUAGACGGGUCUAACCUCUGGGUGCUCACAGUCAUGUCUGCAGAGUCACUCUGUACAUCCUCAGUCUUCCAUGUAGGGACUCUUCUGUGUCAGACAGUUGGUUUUGGGGAAUAGAGGUGGGAGGUGGUUUGGAGAGAGGCAGGGAAGUUGGUCUACAUGAUGAUCCUCUGAGAAACUGAAUUAUGGUGACUCUGGUGUGAGAUGGAUGUCAGUGGUGAGAGAAUGAGGUGUAGUGAGUGAACUGCAUAGAAGCUGGAGAGCUGGAAAUGCAGGCAUUGUACGAGUAAGUGACUUUGAAUCACAAAUGCCUUAGACAUCUGUAGCUUCCACAGAAGGGACCUUUCUAUAGUUGAAAGGGGAUGCUCUCAGGGAAGAGGGACAAUGUCAAGACUAAGACUGUCUGUCUAACCCCUAUUAUUCUCUGGAGUCCUCCAGCCUCCUGGGUUUUGGUAGGGACCACAGAAAGCAGAUAAAGUCCUGGGUAAAGUCCUGUUCAGUCCACAGUUGCCCCGGAAACCUCUUGUUGUUUGUGUCCCGGUGUACUCUGGCCUGGACGUGUGGGGAUCCAGGGGGAAGGAAGUGUGGAGAAGCCAGGAUGUGUGAUUGUCCUCACGUGUAGUGAACUCCCCCAGGAGCACAUCAGAUCUGUGCUACUCCUGCUGUCAUGCCAUGGAGCACUAAUGGGGGCAAUCUGGGUACAAGGACCCCUCGACCCUUUCAGCAGCAGAUUCCCAGUGCUUUUCCCGGCCUUAAGGACCAUCCUCUGCCACUGGGACCACUGAGAUGGAGCCGCAGACUCAACUGCUACAAAGGGAAGAUGUUGGCUUUGUGUGUGUGUGUGUGUG
Molecule: long non-coding RNA, 1507 nt
Organism: Ornithorhynchus anatinus (platypus)
Lineage: Eukaryota; Metazoa; Chordata; Mammalia; Monotremata; Ornithorhynchidae
Exons: 4
Source: RefSeq, a predicted model, not a curated record